AGAGAAACAAGCCUUACCUCUGCAGAAGCUGCCACCUUUGUCCUUUCCAUUCUGGCCAUUCCUGGCAGGGUCUCCAGAAGGUAACACAUUGAGAAGGGUCUGAUUUCAAAUAGAGGUCAUUAGAGAGCUCGUCAUAAUACAAAGUGUUGGAAUUAGCACAUGGAUCCUAUGAUGAUAGACGCCUACAGAGUUCUACAAUACAGUCUUAACACUGUUUCUCCCAGUCUUGUUUGUACUCUAAGUCCACACCAUUGGCAACGAUGACCAUUUCUAUUCCCAUGGCUUGGCCCUUUACAAAGGUUGUUUACUUCCGUUAUUUUGGUGAAUCUUUACAACUUGGUAUCCAUGUGUUGUUAGUAUUGUCCUCACUUUACAGAGAGCAAACUAAGGUAAGGAGAUGAGUGGCCUCACUGGGAAAGCUUGGUCUAGCUAGGGGUUCAAACCGCAUAUUCCAAAUAUGGGACUGGAAUUCAAAUUUGGGACCUUUUGCUGUGCCGCAGGUACUUCCCAACGUACAGCUGACGAGGACCAGUAACUUCCAUCCAGGCCCUGUGUGGGUGUGAUGGUUAAUGCUGAGUGUCAACUUGAUUGCAUUGAAGGACACUUACUAAGUAUUGAUCCUGGGUGUGUCUGUGAGGGUGUGGCCAAAGGAGAUUAACAUUUGAGUCAGUGGCUGGGAGAGGCAGACCCACCCUCAAUCUGGGUGGGCACCAUCUUAUCACCUGCCAGCAUGGCCAGAAUAUAAGCAAGCAGAAAAAUGUGAAAAGAGAGACCGGUCUAGACUCCCAGCCUACAUCUUUCUCCCUUGCUGGAUGCUUCCUGCCCUUAAACAUCAGAUCCAAGUUCUUCCAUUUUGAAACUCCCGCUGGCUCCCCUUGCUCCUCAGCCUGCAGACCGCCUGUUGUGGGACCUUGUGAUCGUAUGGGCCAUGUUCCCUUCAGGCUCAGCUCUCCUGGGAUCUGCUGCCCCUUCCUGCCUCAAGGACCCACUCCACCCUCCUGGCACUGGCUUGGCCCUGGUGGAGGAGCUACCAUAGGCAGCAGAGAAGUGGAAUUCUGCUGGGAGCUGCCACCCAAGAACACUGGGCCCCACCAAGCCCGCCGUGUAGACCUGGACUGCUAGAGAGGAUGGGAGCACCUUCCCCUCCAGGAAGAGCCACAGGCCUGGAGGAAAACCUGCACCUCUGAGAGCCUCAAAGGAGCUGUGCCAGUCUGAAGGUACUGCUCAAUGGUCCUGGUCCUCUGUGGGCGACAGGGUCACACUGUGAGCUGAACCUUACACAGCACGUCAGUGUGACGGAUACCAGCAUCCUUCUCCAUCAUCUUCCUAAUUAUGAGCCUGCUCAACCCCUCCCCAGCCACCUGGCUCAUGCCCGGCCUUCGCUUCUUUGGGCCUUUCCCUCCUUCAUGCCAUGGGAGGUAAAGGCCAAGAAAGGUGGCAGGACAUAGGCCCUGGGGUAGGAGCAAGCGCCGGUGUGGAUGAGUGCAUCCUAAACUCAGGGCUGGCCAGAGAGAAACACCAGGACCCAGAAACAUGUGUCUCAGACCUGCUUUCAUCCUGCUGGGAUACAGGAAGGUACAGGGCCUAUGCCUGGGGGGAAACCACUGAAGACACAGCAGGCGGCUGAGCAGCACUGCAGGUGACAGCUCACUGCUGGUCUCAUUCCUGCAUUGCCUUCCCCAGCUUGUCCCCUGGGACUCUGGGGAAAUAAAUUGUGUUGGUUUUUCUCUGUAAAUAAUUUCCUGUCAUUGUGUGUAACGACUGGCAAAUAAUUUCUCAACAACUGGCUGUUUCUUUGUUGCGUUCUAAAGUUGAGCAGCACUGUGGAUCAUCAGCAUUUUCUAUUUCCCUGCCAUCUGAAAACAUCUGGGACAAUCCCUUGAGCCCAGGUAGAGGCUGCAGUGAGCUAUGAGCGUGCCACUGCUCCCCAGCCUGGGUGACAGAGUAAGACUCCGUCUCU
Molecule: long non-coding RNA, 1960 nt
Organism: Callithrix jacchus (white-tufted-ear marmoset)
Lineage: Eukaryota; Metazoa; Chordata; Mammalia; Primates; Cebidae
Source: Ensembl